GACGAACGCUGGCGGCGUGCCUAACACAUGCAAGUCGAACGGAAAGGCCCUUCGGGUUACUCGAGUGGCGAACGGGCGGGUAACACGUGGGUGAUCUGCCCUGCACUUUGGGAUAAGCCUGUGAAACUGGGUCUAAUACCGAAUAAGAUCAUCGGCUUCAUAGUCGGUGGGGGAAAUCUUUUGCGGUGGUUGUUGGGCCCGCUGUCUAUCAGCUCGCUGGUGGAGUAAUGGCUGACCAAGGCGAGGACGGGUAGCCGGCCUGAGAGGGUCACCGGCCACACUGGGACUGAGGGACGGCGCAGACGCGAACGGGAGGCAGCAGUGGGGAGUAUUACACAGUGGGGGCGAGCCUGUGACGGCGACGCCGCGUGCGGGAUGCCGGCCUUCGGGUUGUGAACCUCUGUCAGCGCAGACGAGGCGGAAGUGACGGUACGUGCAGAAGAAGGACCGGCCAACUACGUG
RNAcentral lists this ribosomal RNA (462 nucleotides) under uncultured bacterium. RNAcentral describes it as "partial 16S ribosomal RNA". It matches the Rfam family "Bacterial small subunit ribosomal RNA", at positions 28 to 507 of the family's 1533-position model. The record is from RNAcentral.